Scomber japonicus (chub mackerel) is the source of this 295-nucleotide long non-coding RNA. RefSeq lists it as uncharacterized. The transcript is spliced from 3 exons. Lineage: Eukaryota; Metazoa; Chordata; Actinopteri; Scombriformes; Scombridae. The record is from RefSeq and is a predicted model, not a curated record.
ACAUCCUGCCCGGGCUUCAUCUGCAGUACCUGAAUUCAAAACCCCAGAUAAAGAACAAGCAAGUGCAACAUCAGAUGAUGACUCUGAGGUGGAGGUUAUGAAUGUCAGGGAAGCCACUGCUGAACAGUCUGCUUUAGCCAAGAAACUCCUGCUGCCUCUUACUUUCUUCUGCUACCAGAACGAACCAGGCUACACCAGCAAUGAGCAAUCUGAUGAUGAGGACUACGAGUCAGCUGUGAAAGCCUUGAAUGGAAAGCUCUACCCAGAUCCUACGAGAAGAAAAGCAGCGGCGUGU